RNAcentral lists this ribosomal RNA (241 nucleotides) under uncultured bacterium. RNAcentral describes it as "partial 16S ribosomal RNA". It matches the Rfam family "Bacterial small subunit ribosomal RNA", at positions 524 to 761 of the family's 1533-position model. The record is from RNAcentral.
GACGUAGGGCGCGAGCGUUGUCCGGAUUUAUUGGGCGUAAAGAGCUCGUAGGCGGCUUGUCGCGUCGUCCGUGAAAACCUGCAGCUCAACUGCAGGCUUGCGGUCGAUACGGGCAGGCUAGAGUUCGGCAGGGGAGACUGGAAUUCCUGGUGGUAGCGGUGAAAUGCGCAGAUAUCAGGAGGAACACCGGUGGCGAAGGCGGGUCUCUGGGCCGAUGACUGACGCUGGAGGAGCGAAAGCG